CUCAUGCCAUCCUCUUUCCCCUACCCCUCCUAGGCCACCACAGCCCCAUCAUACUCCUUGGCAGCCACCCAAAACCCUGCCUGGAGGCUUCUUGCAGGAGAGAGCCUGGGCUCAGAUUUUGUUAUAUUUUGUGUACGUUGUCUCCUAAUCCUCCCAGCAAACCUGGAGGAUGGGCAUAAGCCAUGAUUACAGACUGGACAGUGGGAUCCUAGACUCUAGUCACUCCCUUGGGGUCUGGCAGCUCCCACACACGGGGCAGGGCUCCAGCCUGACAGCAGAGGCUGUGCCGUGGGAUGACCUGGCAGUGGCCAUAUAUGGAAGGUGCUUGUGUGUGACUUUGAGGCCAGGUGCUCCCCUGGAAGGGCUGACACUGAAUUUGCAUCCUGCCGGCUUGUGUGGGGUGCAGCACUGAGAUUUGUCCCCUGGGGCUUGGGUUUGACUUCGCUCUGCAUGGCCUCCAAGGCCGAUUCCCUAAGUGUCUGAUGGGUGGAACUCCAGGCAGAUUUACUCAUGAGCAGCGCGAGGGCAACUCCAUGCAGAGUAACCCACAUUCUGAUUCAGGGUUUAAGAAAUUUAGAGGGUCACAUGUCACUCAGCAUAGCCUGUCUGAUAACAAGAGGUUGUGUAAUUAUGUUUAGAUUUCUAGGUUGGAAGAAUCCCUUAGGAAGUCAGUGCUGCAGAUAGAACAACUACAAAGUAUGAGAUCAUCACAACAAACAGCUUUCAGCACAAUAAAAAGUUCAGUUUCAACAAAACCACACGGAUGCCUGCUGCCACCUCACUCAUCAGCCCCCGACAGACUGGAGUCGAUGGAAGUUGAUCUCUCUCCUUCUCCGAUUAGAAAAUCCGAGAUAGCAGCCGGCCCUGCGAGAAUCUCCGUGAUUAGUCCACCUCAAGAUGGACGAAUGGGCAGCGUCUCCUCCCGGGGCCCCGAGCAUCCCGGCCUGACGCCGAGUCAGAGGAGCAUGGGAAAGCCUCUCAGGAUUCCACCUCUGCAAAUUCCCUACAAGGGACCCCCACUAACGCCAACACCACAGUUACCAGGGAGAGCAGGAAGAGGGGACUCUCCAAGCUUCGGGGGCUCCCAGGCCAGGCUGCCCCCCCGGCCGCCCAUCAGCAUCUCCAGCCUGCUGCAGAGGCAGUGUUUAGGCAAGUGCUCAGCCAGCCUCAGGAAGAAAAUGCUUUUGGGAAACUGCGUGUGUAAAGAAGCUCUUUAACUGAGUGUGUGCCAAGGGCAGACAUGGAGCUCUAAACCUUCUCAAGAGUUGUGUUUCUGAGUUUUGCCUUAGUUGUU
This 1294-nucleotide long non-coding RNA is filed under the name Pan troglodytes (chimpanzee). RNAcentral describes it as "lncRNA (ENSPTRG00000053630.1)". The record is from RNAcentral. Lineage: Eukaryota; Metazoa; Chordata; Mammalia; Primates; Hominidae.